AUGAAGGCAGGGGGAGAGACUACAUUUGUAGCGCCGAAGGAGCAAGCUUAGCAGCGAAUCUCUCAGGCAAAAGAACCCUUGUUGGACG
Molecule: non-coding RNA, 88 nt
Filed under: Bacillus sp. (in: firmicutes)
Lineage: Bacteria; Bacillati; Bacillota; Bacilli; Caryophanales; Bacillaceae
Also listed under: 1 other name
Description: Bacillus sp. Glycine sequence
Rfam family: Glycine riboswitch aptamer
About the family: This family represents the bacterial glycine riboswitch.
Source: RNAcentral